GACGAACGCUGGCGGCGUGCUUAACACAUGCAAGUCGAACGGUGAAGGGACCAGCUUGCUGGUUCUGGAUGAGUGGCGAACGGGUGAGUAACACGUGAGUAACCUGCCCCCUUCUUCUGGAUAACCGCAUGAGAGUGUGGCUAAUACGGGAUAUUCUGGGUCUGUCGCAUGGCGGGCCCGGGAAAGAUAUUGCUUCGGUGGGGGAUGGGCUCGCGGCCUAUCAGCUUGUUGGUGGGGUGAUGGCCUACCAAGGCGGUGACGGGUAGCCGGCCUGAGAGGGUGGACGGUCACACUGGGACUGGGACACGGCCCAGACUCCUACGGGAGGCAGCAGUGGGGAAUAUUGCACAAUGGGCGCAAGCCUGAUGCAGCGACGCCGCGUGAGGGAUGGAGGCCUUCGGGUUGUAAACCUCUUUCGCCAGUGAAGCAGGCCUGCUCCUUGUGGGUGGGUUGACGGUAGCUGGAUAAGAAGCGCCGGCUAACUACGUG
This 489-nucleotide ribosomal RNA is filed under the name uncultured bacterium. RNAcentral describes it as "partial 16S ribosomal RNA". It matches the Rfam family "Bacterial small subunit ribosomal RNA", at positions 28 to 507 of the family's 1533-position model. The record is from RNAcentral.